This is a long non-coding RNA of Macaca fascicularis (crab-eating macaque), 1884 nucleotides long. NCBI's taxonomy places the organism in Eukaryota, Metazoa, Chordata, Mammalia, Primates, Cercopithecidae. The record is from Ensembl.
CAGAGACCAUGUGUCUGUGGUGGCUGCAGUCACCAGGCCAGGUGAACUCCUCCAAGCAGAGCUCAGCAGCCCACUUCCUGGCUCAAAAGAGGUGGGCUUUGGGAUUUGUCCACAGUUCAUUGUUUUCGGGGAAGGGCCCCAAAUGCUGAGAAUCUUAAUAAGCUCCUUCUGGGGAGCUCGCUCCUCUGUCCUCCCACCUUCCUGAGUACUCACAUAUCUAGAGCAACUGCAGCCACACAGUAAGGAGCACAGACACAGGAGCCAGAGCCCUGGGUUCGAAUCCCAGCUCCACCACUCAUUAGCUGUCUCACCCUGGGGCAAGGUCAGGUCCUCUGCACAUCAGUCUCAUCUAUAGGAUGGGGUAAUAACACCUGCCUUAGGGCUGUCAUUGCCUUCACACAAGCUAAUUGAUGAGAACAAAGGUCUCUCAUGUUGCAAUAGUUCGCUCAGCUUUAGUUAGUGAUGACCAUUCUUCCUGAACACACCCUGAUCAUCCCCUGGGCAGCCUCCUCACUCCACUCCCAUCCAUCCUUCCUUCCUCCCUUCCUUUUUUUUUUUUUUCCUGAGACGGAGUCUCACUCUGUAGCCCAGGCUAGCGUGCAAUGGCACAAUCUCAGCUCACUGCAACCUCUGCCUCCUGGGUUCAAGUGAAUCUCCUUCCUCAGCCUCCCGAAUAGCUGGGAUUACAGGUGCCCACCACCUUGCCUGGCUAAUUUUUCUAUUUUUAGUAGAGAUGUGGCUUCGCCAUGUUGGCCAGGCUGGUCUCAAACUCCUGACCUCAGGUGAUCCACCCACCUCGGCCUCCCAAAGUGCUGGGAUUACAGGCAUGAGCCACCGUGCCUGGCCUACAAAUCCUUUUAAAACCUGGCUCCCUUGGUCUGUUUCAAGAAGCCUGCCAACCUCAGACCCUCCUGCCCCUGCCUCUCCUGCUGCCCCACGUAACUGUUCCUUAGCAGGUUUGUGUAGUUAAGAGUGCUGCGAACUGCCUUGCAGGUGUGUGGAUCCACCUGGGCACUGUCUCCGAGCACAGCCCCUCCUCCAGUUCACUGUGCCAAGCCAGAAACCUGGGUGCACCCUGACCCCUCCUGCUCUGCACCUGCUGUCUGCUUUCAGUCCCAGGUUGACCUGGUCUCCUUGAUCUCUGCUCCUCCUGCUUUUCCCCGUGCCCCACAGUGACCCUGGCCUGCUCCUCUGUCACAGGAUCAUUGCAGCAGCACUCUUCAUGCUCCUGGUCACUUCCUCCACAGCCCCAGAGUCAUCUCAUAACAAGUCAACCUGCCUUAACAGUUUCCACGUCACACAAACAGGUAAACCCUCCAAGAAGAAGUGCAUUUAGUAGGCAAAUAUAUGGAAAAAUGUUCACCCUCACUGGUAAUCAAAGAUAUACAAAUUAGAACAGGGUGGUAUGUUUUGCCUAAAAAAUGAGCACUUUAAAAAAAAGACAUAAUGGGGCUGGGAGGGGCUUGUGCAUGUAAUCCCAGUGUUUUGGGAGGUCAAGGCAGGAGAAUUGCUUGAGGCCAGGAGUUCGAGAUCAGCCUGGGCAGCAGAGCAAGACCCUGCCUCUGCAAAAAAUUAAAAAAUUAGCCAGGGUUGGGCGCAGUGGCUCAUGCCUGUAAUCCCAGCACCUAAGGAGGCCAAGCGAGUGGAUCACGAGGUCAAGCAAUCGAGACCAUCCUGGCCAACAUGGGGAAACCCUGUCCCUACUAAAAAUACAAAAAUUAACUGGCCGUGGUGGCGCGCAUCUGUAGUCCCACCUACUCGGGUGGCUGAGGCAGGAGAAUCACUUGAACUUGGGAGGCGGAGGUUGCAGUGAACUGAGAUUGCGCCACUGCAGUCCAGCCUGGCGACAGAGCAAGACCCUGUUUCAAAAAAAAAAAAAAAAAA